UUUGGAAUAAACAGAACAAAAGAUAUCAAAAUCCGUUAAACUCUUCACCACCAUUGUUUGCAAUUUGGAACAUGAUGGAAAAAAAAGGCAUCAAUUCUAUUUCUUCACCACCUAAUCCAACUUCCCUAUCUAACUUAAUGUAUUUUUUUACAGGCUGUUUGGACCAUCGCUUCAUAACAUAAAUUCGUUUAUUUUAGGUAAUCUUGUAAUGGCAAUUGAAAAGGAGUUGGUGAACAACUGUGUAACCGAAACUGAAAAGGACUUAGCGAAUGAAUGUGUGCCAAUUAACACCUUAAGGAGAUGUGAUUCCUGUUGGGUAAUAAGAGUCUUAGUAAUUGGAAGCGGACCAGUAAAAGCGUAUAAAAGGGGAACGAACGAAGGUCUCCGAAAGACUGUGACAUUAGUUGACGGAGAGAUAUACUUGGCAUCUUUGUGGAUUCUAAGGCCUUCCUGGGAGGAAACACAAAACGAAGAGAAAUUGUACUUAUGAACGAGAUGUAAGUUGAAUUUAGUUUACCUACUCAUCAUUGAAGCUUUUACUUUUUUUUCUUUUGAAUGAAUGUUGGAAGGGAUCUUCAC
This is a long non-coding RNA of Lycium barbarum (goji berry), 579 nucleotides long. RefSeq lists it as uncharacterized. Lineage: Eukaryota; Viridiplantae; Streptophyta; Magnoliopsida; Solanales; Solanaceae. The transcript has 3 exons. The record is from RefSeq and is a predicted model, not a curated record.